RNAcentral lists this transfer RNA (72 nucleotides) under Perkinsus olseni. RNAcentral describes it as "tRNA-Leu". It matches the Rfam family "tRNA". Rfam says of the family: Transfer RNA (tRNA) molecules are approximately 80 nucleotides in length. Lineage: Eukaryota; Perkinsozoa; Perkinsida; Perkinsidae. The record is from RNAcentral.
GGCUGUGUGGUCUAGUGGUAUGAUUCUCGCUUGAGGUGCGUGAGGUCCCGAGUUCGGUUCUCGACUCAGCCC